AUGGUAACGUUGCAGAUGCCAUUUAUCCGGAUGGGAGAGACCAUGGUCUUGAGCGCCACCAUGCAAUUUGCACACACUAUGGUGAAGAUGCUUGGAGUAGAGUACCCAAGAGAGGCAACUGUGAAGUACAUAGAAAAGGCAAUUGGAGCAUUAAGAGGAUUCUCAUGUAUACUUGGUUUAGUUGAUUGCAUGCACGGACAAUGGAAGAACUGCCUAAAAGCUUUGUGUGGGCAGUACCAAGGUCACGUCAAAGAAGCCACCAUCAUACUUGAAGCAGUGGCAUCGAAGGACUUGUGGAUUUGGCAUGCUUUCUUUGGCACGUCUGGUUCUAACAAUGACGUCAAUGUGCUCCAAUGA
Molecule: ribosomal RNA, 357 nt
Filed under: Triticum aestivum (bread wheat)
Lineage: Eukaryota; Viridiplantae; Streptophyta; Magnoliopsida; Poales; Poaceae
Description: partial small subunit ribosomal RNA
Source: RNAcentral